UCUGGUUGAUCCUGCCAGUAGUUAUAUGCUUGUCUCAAAGAUUAAGCCAUGCAUGUCUAAGUACACACGAAUUAAAGUGAACCGCAAAAGGCUCAUUAUAUCAGUUAUGGUUCCUUAGAUCGUUAACAGUUACUUGGAUAACUGUGGUAAUUCUAGAGCUAAUACAUGCAAUUAAAACAUGAACCUUAUGGGACAUGUGCUUUUAUUAGGCUAAAACCAAGCGAUCGCAAGAUCGUUAUAUUGGUUGAACUCUAGAUAACAUGCAGAUCGUAUGGUCAUGUACCGACGACAGAUCUUUCAAAUGUCUGCCCUAUCAACUUUUGUAUGGUAGUAUCUAGGACUACCAUGGUUGCAACGGGUAACGGGGAAUCAGGGUUCGAUUCCGGAGAGGGAGCCUGAGAAACGGCUACCACAUCUAAGGAAGGCAGCAGGCGCGUAAAUUACCCACUCCCAGCUCGGGGAGGUAGUGACGAAAAAUAACAAUACAGGACUCAUAUCCGAGGCCCUGUAAUUGGAAUGAGUACACUUUAAAUCCUUUAACAAGGACCAAUUGGAGGGCAAGUCUGGUGCCAGCAGCCGCGGUAAUUCCAGCUCCAAUAGCGUAUAUUAAAGUUGUUGCGGUUAAAACGUUCGUAGUUGAACUUGUGCUUCAUACGGGUAGUACAACUUACAAUUGUGGUUAGUACUAUACCUUUAUGUAUGUAAGCGUAUUACCGGUGGAGUUUCUUAUAUGUGUUGAGAUACUUGUAUUUUUUCAUAUGUUCCUCCUAUUUAAAAACCUGCAUUAGUGCUCUUAAACGAGUGUUAUUGUGGGCCGGUACAAUUACUUUGAACAAAUUAGAGUGCUUAAAGCAGGCUUCAAAUGCCUGAAUAUUCUGUGCAUGGGAUAAUGAAAUAAGACCUCUGUUCUGCUUUCAUUGGUUUUCAGAUCAAGAGGUAAUGAUUAAUAGAAGCAGUUUGGGGGCAUUAGUAUUACGACGCGAGAGGUGAAAUUCUUGGACCGUCGUAAGACUAACUUAAGCGAAAGCAUUUGCCAAAGAUGUUUUCAUUAAUCAAGAACGAAAGUUAGAGGUUCGAAGGCGAUCAGAUACCGCCCUAGUUCUAACCAUAAACGAUGCCAGCUAGCAAUUGGGUGUAGC
This 1139-nucleotide ribosomal RNA is filed under the name Drosophila eugracilis. RNAcentral describes it as "SSU rRNA". It matches the Rfam family "Eukaryotic small subunit ribosomal RNA", at positions 1 to 1063 of the family's 1831-position model. The record is from RNAcentral. Lineage: Eukaryota; Metazoa; Arthropoda; Insecta; Diptera; Drosophilidae.